RNAcentral lists this ribosomal RNA (440 nucleotides) under uncultured bacterium. Its description in RNAcentral is "partial 16S ribosomal RNA". It matches the Rfam family "Bacterial small subunit ribosomal RNA", at positions 338 to 795 of the family's 1533-position model. The record is from RNAcentral.
CCUACGGGAGGCAGCAGUGGGGGAUAUAGCACAAUGGGGGAAACCCUGAUGCAGCGACGCCGCGUGGGUGAAGAAGCGCCUCGGCGCGUAAAGCCCUGUCAGCAGGGAAGAAAAUGACGGUACCUGAAGAAGAAGCCCCGGCUAACUACGGGCCAGCAGCCGCGGUAAUACGUAGGGGGCAAGCGUUAUCCGGAUUUACUGGGUGUAAAGGGGGCGCAGACGGCGAUGCAAGCAAGGAGUGAAAGCCCGGGGCCCAACCCCGGGACUGCUCUUGGAACUGCGUGGCUAGAGUGCAGGAGGGGCAGGCGGAAUUCCUGGGGUAGCGGUGAAAUGCGUAGAUAUCAGGAGGAACACCGGUGGCGAAGGCGGCCUGCUGGACUGCAACUGACGUUGAGGCCCGAAAGCGUGGGGAGCAAACAGGAUUAGAUACCCUUGUAGUC